GACGAACGCUGGCGGCGUGCUUAACACAUGCAAGUCGAACGGAAAGGCUCCAGCUUGCUGGAGUACUCGAGUGGCGAACGGGUGAGUAACACGUGGGUAAUCCGCCCUGCACUCUGGGAUAAGCCUGGGAAACUGGGUCUAAUACUGGAUAUGACCUUUCUCCUUAUGGGGUUUGGUGGAAAGUUUUUCGGUGUAGGAUGAGCCCGCGGCCUAUCAGCUUGUUGGUGGGGUGAUGGCCUACCAAGGCGACGACGGGUAGCCGGCCUGAGAGGGUGAUCGGCCACAUUGGGACUGAGAUACGGCCCAGACUCCUACGGGAGGCAGCAGUGGGGAAUAUUGCACAAUGGGCGGAAGCCUGAUGCAGCGACGCCGCGUGAGGGAUGACGGCCUUCGGGUUGUAAACCUCUUUCAGCAGGGACGAAGCGUAAGUGGCGGUACCUGCAGAAGAAGCACCGGCUAACUAUGUG
Molecule: ribosomal RNA, 467 nt
Filed under: uncultured bacterium
Lineage: Bacteria
Description: partial 16S ribosomal RNA
Rfam family: Bacterial small subunit ribosomal RNA
Source: RNAcentral